UGGGGUGAGAAAAAAAAAAAACGACAAGGUCUCCGUUGGUGAACCAGCGGAGGGAUCAUUACUGAGUUACCACAACUCCAACCCUAUGUGAACUUUACCUCUGUUUCCUCGGCCAACCGCAGUUACCCUAUAGAAAUAGGUUACCCUGUAGGAAGGCCGGCCGAAAUGCCGUUAAACUACGAAACCCUUUAUUUCCAACCUUGCUGUAGAACUGCGUGAAAAUCGAAGUUCCGCUACGAGUAAGGCCUGAAUGGCUUAAAAUAAACUUUCUUAGAAGAAUCGUAUUAAAACUUUCAACAACGGAUCUCUUGGCUCUGGCAUCGAUGAAGAACGCAGCGAAAUGCGAUAAGUAAUGCGAAUUGCAGAAUUCAGUGAAUCAUCGAAUCUUUGAACGCACAUUGCGCCCACUAGUAUUCUAGUGGGCAUGCCUAUCCGAGCGUCAUUACGACCCUUAAGCCCCUGUAGCUUAGCGUUGGGAAUCUACGUUUAGGCGUAGUUCCUCAAAAUUAGUGGCGGAUUUACAGCACACCCAAAGCGUAGUAAUUUACCCCGUUCUUGGAGUGGCCGUAGCUUCUGGCCGUAAAACUUACCCUAUACUUUCUAGUGGUUGACCUCGGAUUAGGUAGGAAUACCCGCUGAACUUAA
This 645-nucleotide ribosomal RNA is filed under the name Ascomycota sp. 1 B25. Its description in RNAcentral is "eukaryotic LSU rRNA". The stretch from base 289 to 442 matches the Rfam family "5.8S ribosomal RNA". The record is from RNAcentral. Lineage: Eukaryota; Fungi; Ascomycota.